GGUUGAUGUCAUCCGGAAGAACCCCGUGGAAGGCGUUGUAGGAGAGGUCGAGGAAGCGGAGGUGGGAGCAGGCGUAGAGCGGGACGCCGGAGAAGCCAUUGGUAAGAUAGUUGUAGGAGAGGUCGAGGUGGGUGAGGCUCAGUAGGUCGCACACCGACUCUGCCACCUUGCCGGUGAUGUUUAGAUUCGGCAAUGAUAUCCCUAUCACUGCACGUCCGUCGUCGCCACCGCAGACCACGCCGGU
RNAcentral lists this ribosomal RNA (244 nucleotides) under Triticum aestivum (bread wheat). Its description in RNAcentral is "partial small subunit ribosomal RNA". The record is from RNAcentral. Lineage: Eukaryota; Viridiplantae; Streptophyta; Magnoliopsida; Poales; Poaceae.